UGUUUUCACAGAUUUAUUUUGAUGUUACAUCAUAUUUGUAAGAGGAACAUUCAUUAGGUUUAAACAAAAUCAUACAAAAGAAUUGUAACGCUUGCAUAUUGUUAACCUAGAAGCACUUUUAGUCUUUGUUAGGUUUAUCGAAAAACAAUUUGGCAAACACCCUUUUUUGAAUGUCAUGCUCUUGCAGGCUGCAGUAACAUUUGAGUUUUGUAAGUGCAAAGGUCCAUUCAAACAGGUGGUGACAUUACAAUCCUUGGUUUAUGUACAUUUUGGAGCUUGUCAACAUUCAGCAUUUCCAAAAGCAGAAUAAAAAUUUGAAAGCUUGAAGAUAUAUUUACAUGUACAUUUAUUUUCCUUCCUUUUGGUCAUACAAAUUCUGCCUCUGAUGCUUCUGACUUCAGAUGUUAGUAAAAAAAAUAUUGUUAAUUGGGCAAAACUGUUUCUUUUAAACAUAUCAGGAGGUUUAUUUUCCCUGACAUCAUCUAAACACAGCUCCUUUGCAAUACUGAUAAAGUUUCUCUGUACUUUGCCACAUUAUAUUACAGCAGAUGUAGAAGUUGUAUCUAAAUGGCGAUUCUCCAUUAAUGAAUUUGUAUAAGGUCAAGUCCUGGAUAUUUUACUAACUGUAACAACAAACCACUGCUUCCUACUCUAUGCAUUAUAAUCUACAACAUCUACAAAGACACCUUCCAACAAACGGCUACACUCUAUGAUCUCAGCUAUGAUAAUUAAAGUUUGUGCUUUCUAGACAUUCCCUGUAAUGGAAAGAGCAGAGGGGUGUGGUACUUCAUCACGGCCAGAAGGAGGCACUGUGUAACCAUCAAACAAAAGACCCCAGUGUUGACAAGGCAAGGUACUGUACGUUACCACAGGGUAUGAGGAUACAGGUAGGUGGCAAAAUCAUUCAAUCCAUCAUCAGUCACCGCAAAUCAGAAUAAAUUUGUUACGUUCAUUCAGGUCCUGAUGUAUUUUUAUAGCUGCAUAAAACUACUGAGAGAAAGAUAUUAAACAAUAAAAGAUAAAUCCAGAUAGAUUCAAUUAAAUGUCUCUUUUUUAACCCAUCAUGAACUUCAGUGGUAUUUUUAAGAGAAUAGAAGUAGUUAUGAAAGGGUAGUACUUCAGAAAGUCUGAGGAUCCAUGAUUGCAAGGCCAUUCAGAAAUAGUCACAAUAUAUCUUGACCCAGCUCUAAUUUGUGAGUGAAAUCUAUGAAGGUGUGGAUAUUUAACAGUUUAUAAAUUUUUCUUCCUUCUUGAAUUUGUCUUUCAAGUGGAAGACAUUUGAUUUCAGACGCGACGAUAAGGCACAGCCCCUCACAAGCUCAGGUCGAUGAUGAUGUGCUCAAAGAUCUGCGUGUUUCCCUUGAAGCUCGAGGAAAAAAUAAAGUCCCUGCGGUCGGUAGAUACCACGGUGAAAGAGCGUGGGGCUUGGAUGUACACCUCCUUAAAGCGGUCAAAGAUUUUGUUGUCCUCAUCCCACAGGUAGAUCUGUGAGAAGGUGUAGUCGCUUCCCAGAGCCAGAUAGUAACGUUCCUUGAAAGAGAACGGCUGGAGAAUCAUGGAGCCUCGAGAGGGCAAAGCUUGGAUCUCAGCAAACUGUUUGGUGCCCCAACGCAGAACUUUGGAAUCACCGAUAUACCGCGUCAUAGCCAGGUAGAGCUCCUCCUUGAUCCGGAAGUGUUUCACAAUCACUACAUCCUCCAUGUUGGGGAUCUCACCCUGCAGGAUGAACUUCUGGUUGCUCCGGCUCCACUGGUAGAUCACUGGAACCUGUGAGCGGCUCGCUAGAAUAAGGUGAGCUUUCCCAUCCAAGUCCAGAAACUCUACAUCCGUGUCGCGGUACCACUCGUGCAGUGACUGGUACGAAUAAAAGCCAUUAUCAUUCCACUUGUAGAGGGUGGAGAGGCCAGCUUUUGAGCUGUCAGCAAUCACAAAGAACCAAUCAGAGCCAAUCUGGAAGGCCUCAAUAUCAUUGGGCUUAGAGAUCUUGGACACUUCGAUAUCCUGGAACUUAUUGAACCUGCUUUGGUCGUCAUCAAACUUGUAAAUGUGGGAACCACCAAACAGCUGAGCCACAAUGACAAACACCUCAUAUUUGAUGAUGACAGAUUUGCACCCCACAAUGGACUGACCUAAAGGGCAGAGAAACACAUGAAUCGCGUGAGAAUGAAACUGGGAGCAUUCUGGGAGUGUUUGUUAGCCUAAUG
RNAcentral lists this long non-coding RNA (2204 nucleotides) under Oreochromis niloticus (Nile tilapia). Its description in RNAcentral is "lncRNA (ENSONIG00000036977.1)". Lineage: Eukaryota; Metazoa; Chordata; Actinopteri; Cichliformes; Cichlidae. The record is from RNAcentral.